RNAcentral lists this long non-coding RNA (364 nucleotides) under Eucalyptus grandis. RNAcentral describes it as "long non-coding RNA (EGRA_LNC003990)". The record is from RNAcentral. Lineage: Eukaryota; Viridiplantae; Streptophyta; Magnoliopsida; Myrtales; Myrtaceae.
GUCUUUAACCUCCUCUUGAGAAUGGCCUUUCAUGAAUGCAAAGACCUCAAUUUUCUCAAAAUCUUAUGUGACUAUACGGCCUCAAAUUAUCCAACUAUUGCAGUAUGAAACUAGCAUGAAUAGGGUACUUUGCACUUAGCUUUUGAUCAAGUAAACACUAGCAAGAGCUUGCAAAAUAAACACGAGUAACAAUACAUGUGAGUCCCACAUGAGUGAAGUUCACUGAGAGAAUGUAUCAAUUGUUUUUUCUGCUGUGAGUGACUUUUGGUGACUGAAGAAGUGAAGUGCAGUGAAGUGCUUGAUCUCAAUGUUAGCCAAGCUUUCACUCUUGCAUCUUUUGCGUGGUUGACAUUGGGUAUUUUCA